UCCAUUUUUCUCCCCAUGUAUACAAAGCAUAACUGUCAUGAUAUGUGUCAUUUUAAGCCGAUUUUCCAUCCUGUGAUGCGAUGAAUUGGAGCGAAUAAGCUGGAAGCAGCAGAUGGCUAACAGCCCAGUGCGGUUGCUAAGGUUGCCUGAAUGCUACUCGCAGAGUUUUCUGGUUAGCAUAGAACAAGACAAGAGAGCUACACACAGAAUGAGCUAUCAAUCGUGUAAAAAGCGUAAUCCGUAGUCUUAAAAAAAUGAUUCGUCUGUGUUUGGAUGGCAGGCAUAUUGGCAAGUUGUCAUGACAACAGGGAUGUUCUGCUGAUGAAGACUUGCUGUCGACUGUCCAAUCGGAUGACGGCAGCUUAAACUGCAGCGUGAGCGCAAGUGUUGAGGGGGAUACACGUUUUCCAGAUACACACAAUGCCAAGGACGACGCCCUUGUCCAAGACCACCUACGGAUCAUAAUCGGCUACAGGAGAGGGAUGGCUAACGGACUGACACGAUCUACUUUGGAAUGAGAACAAGGCGGAGGAAGAAACGAGACAGGGCCAGAUUAUGGAGAAUUCCAGAGGGUCUUCAAAAUCCAGAAAGAAAGCAUGGAGGCUUGGGAAGGAGCAGGAUGGUAUGACCUUCCUGGAACCCUUUUCACUCAGAGGAACUGUUUCUCUGAAGGUACUGGGACAUUUUCACUGUUACGCCUACAGAGUCUUCACACAGUUUUAGUUUCUGUACGGUCCCACAUAUGCACCCUAAAGAUUUACACUUCCCAAAAACAGUUUCCUUUCCCUUUCAUCAAUGGAUAGUCUCACCUUGAUACUGUAGAUCGAUACCUGAGAACUACUGCUGUAAUCAUUAAGACACUGAACAUCCUUUCAGCGCAAUUAGUACUAUUUGGAUGUGUUUCCUUUUUGAGUCUGCUUCCUCUCAAAUUUGUCUCACAUUGUCUCAGGGAUUUUUUACUUUGCCACUGUCUCCUCUGGCUUGCUCACUAGGGAUUAACAUCUACAUCCGGACUUCUGUCAAUUUUGAGACGAUGUCUACUGUUAAACUGGCUAUACAAAUAAAAAUAUUGACUUGAAUAUUAGCGACUACAUAUAUCACUUGUCAUUUGCAUUUAGUCUUUAGAACUAAACUGUUCUGUUUUCCUGUUCAUCAAACAGCUCGAGGCAGAAUGUCAGAGCAGAAAUCCAACCAUCAACAACCGUCUUCUACACCCAGCAAUAAGAGUCUGUGAGAAGAGCUAAAGUUAAGCAAGAAGGAUGGUGUGGCCGUCCAGAAUGUCUUUUCACUCAGAGGAACUGUUUAUCUAAAGGUACUAGUAUUUCCUAACUGAGAUAUGUAUGUAAAUUUGUACUUUGGCGUUUGGAUUAGAUCAAAUCUGGUGAUAUUGUUGGCUGGGUAAAGUUAAACUUUGGUUUGGCAAGUUUGUCAGGAUACUGUGUGGUCUAGACAGGGAACAUGAGGAGGGUUAUUCCAUGCUUGUGUGUCUUUGUGUAUGAGGGGGUGAGUAAAGCUGAAUGAAUGAAAAAUUUGUAUGCCUGCAUGUGCAUUAGUACUUGUAAAGAUUUACAGAGUUUAAUCAAUAACGCAGCCUACGUAUUUAUGAUUCAAAACAGUGUGCUGUUUUGUGUCAAAUCUGGGAGGCGGUCAUGGCAUCUUUGUAUCGAUAAAAUUUGAUUCCACACAGGCAUCUUUUCAUUGCUAGUGUACUAUUAUUUAGAAACAUUUAUGCAUCUGUCAGUUGUAGUGUACGAGGCAGGGCUUCUGUCUUUGUCACUCCCACUAUAGGAGGUGCUGUCUGGUUCCAUCAUUGCCAGUGUAGGAGGUGUGGUCUGAUCUCUUCAUUGCCAGUAUAGGGGGUGUGGUUUGAUCCAUAACUGCCAGUCUAGGAGUUCAAUUCAAUUCAAUUUUAUUUGUAUUGCGCUUUUAAUAAUGGACAUUGUCUCAAAGCAGUUUUACAGAAACAUAUCAACACAGGUUACUGAUUUUAAGUGUGUGAAUUUAUCCCUAUUGAGCGAGCCAGUGACGACGGUGGCGAGGAAAAACUCCCUGAGAUGAUAUGAGGAAGAAACUUUGAGAGGAACCAGACUCAGAAGGGAACCCGUCCUCAAAACCAUUUCUAUGGUACUUCAAACAGCACCAUCCUCAACAAUCGCCAGGCUGUAGCCUCCAGUUGAUGAGAGCUCCAUGCAGAGGUAGGGCAUCAGGAUGGAUCAGGCAGGUCUGGAGAGCAGAAAGGGUCAGGAUCACUGGCAUCUCCAUAAAAUCAUGAGUUGUGGUCUGACCCUGUAACUGCCAGUGUAGGAGGUGUGGUCUGAUCCUGUCACUGCCAGUGUAGGAGGCGUGGUCUGAUCCCAUCAUUGCCAGUGUAGGAGGUGUGGCCUCUGUGCCUGUCAUUCCUGUGAUCCUGUCACUCCAGGUAAAGGAGGUGUGGUGUGAUCCUGUCACUCCGGGUAAAGGAGGUGUGGUGUAAUCCUGUCACUCCGGGUAAAGGAGGUGUGGUGUAAUCCUGUCACUCCGGGUAAAGGAGGUGUGGUGUAAUCCUGUCACUCCGGGUAAAGGAGGUGUGGUGUAAUCCUGUCACUCCGGGUAAAGGAGGUGUGGUCUGAUUGUGUCACUCCCAGUGUAGGAGGCGGGGCCUUGUGCUUAUCAGUCCCAGAGAUUUAAAACCUUUUUACAUCUCAAAGCAUUUUUAUUGUAAAUAUUAUUAUUUUAUCAUAAAUCUUAUUACGCUUUAACAGUUUGCACAAUACUGUAUCACAUUGUGUUACAUUAUUUCUGCCUUAAAACAUACCUAAUUUAAUCACUGCCUGCUUUAAAUUAUCUUUAUUUUGUUGGUUUGUUGAUCAUGUGACUUGAUGUACUGUAGUCUCAGACAAAUACACACAUGUAUGUUCCUGUGCGUGAAUGUCUC
Molecule: long non-coding RNA, 2914 nt
Organism: Ictalurus punctatus (channel catfish)
Lineage: Eukaryota; Metazoa; Chordata; Actinopteri; Siluriformes; Ictaluridae
Source: Ensembl